CGACCCCAGGUCAGGCGGGGCCACCCGCCGAGCUUAAGCAUAUCACUAAGCGGAGGAGAGGAAACUUACGAGGAUUCCCCUAGUAACGGCGAGCGAACCGGGACCAGCCCAGCUUGAGAAUCGGGGGGCCAUGCCUCCCGAAUUGUAGUCUGGAGAAGCGCCCUCAGCGAUGGACCGGGCUCGAGUCCCCUGGAAAGGGGCGCCCGGGAGGGUGAGAGCCCCGUCCGGCCCGGACCCUGCCGCACCACGAGGUGCUGUCGAUGAGUCGGGUUGUUUGAGAAUGCAGCCCUAAUCGGGCGGUAAAUUUCGUCCAAGGCUAAAUAUGGGCGAGAGACCGAUAGCGAACAAGUACCGCGAGGGAAAGAUGAAAAGGACUUUGAAAAGAGAGUCAAAGAGUGCUUGAAAUUGCCGGGAGGGAAGCGGAUGGGGGCCGGCGAUGCACCUCGGUCGGAUGCGGAAUGGCGAUGAGCCGGUCCGUCGCUCGGCUCGGGAUGCAGAUCGUUGCAGGCUGCGCUGGCGGUCGAAUCCCUGGCGAUCGAACCCCGCCCAUGGAGACUCCGUCCGUGCGGUCGAGGAUUCGGUGCGCGCCGUCUCGACGUGCCCCACGGGGCACCGUCGUGCCCUGAGCAAUGGCCCGUGGGCUCCCCAUCCGACCCGUCUUGAAACACGGACCAAGGAGUCUGACAUGCGUGCGAGUCGACGGGCAGGCGAAACCCGGAUGGCGCAAGGAAGCUGACGGGCGGGAUCCCCACCUCCGUGUCGGGGGUGCACCGCCGGCCGACCCCGAUCUUCUGUGAAGGGUUCGAGUUGGAGCAUGCCUGUCGGGACCCGAAAGAUGGUGAACUAUGCCUGAGCGAGGCGAAGCCAGAGGAAACUCUGGUGGAGGCCCGAAGCGAUACUGACGUGCAAAUCGUUCGUCUGACUUGGGUAUAGGGGCGAAAGACUAAUCGAACCAUCUAGUAGCUGGUUCCCUCCGAAGUUUCCCUCAGGAUAGC
This 995-nucleotide ribosomal RNA is filed under the name Wodyetia bifurcata. Its description in RNAcentral is "eukaryotic LSU rRNA". It matches the Rfam family "Eukaryotic large subunit ribosomal RNA", at positions 1 to 982 of the family's 3401-position model. Lineage: Eukaryota; Viridiplantae; Streptophyta; Magnoliopsida; Arecales; Arecaceae. The record is from RNAcentral.